AUUGAACGCUGGCGGCAGGCUUAACACAUGCAAGUCGAGCGGGGUGAUGGUGCUUGCACUAUCACUUAGCGGCGGACGGGUGAGUAAUGCUUAGGAAUCUGCCUAUUAGUGGGGGACAACAUCUCGAAAGGGAUGCUAAUACCGCAUACGUCCUACGGGAGAAAGCAGGGGAUCACUUGUGACCUUGCGCUAAUAGAUGAGCCUAAGUCGGAUUAGCUAGUUGGUGGGGUAAAGGCCUACCAAGGCGACGAUCUGUAGCGGGUCUGAGAGGAUGAUCCGCCACACUGGGACUGAGACACGGCCCUGACUCCUACGGGAGGCAGCAGUGGGGAAUAUUGGACAAUGGGGGAACCCUGAUCCAGCCAUGCCGCGUGUGUGAAGAAGGCCUUAUGGUUGUAAAGCACUUUAAGCGAGGAGGAGGCUCUUUUGGUUAAUACCCAAGAUGAGUGGACGUUACUCGCAGAAUAAGCACCGGCUAACUCUGUGCCAGCCGCCGCGGUAA
RNAcentral lists this ribosomal RNA (502 nucleotides) under uncultured bacterium. RNAcentral's name for it is "partial 16S ribosomal RNA". It matches the Rfam family "Bacterial small subunit ribosomal RNA", at positions 30 to 523 of the family's 1533-position model. The record is from RNAcentral.